AAAACUAGUAUCUCAAUUGUUUGUAAAACAAUUGAAAGGCCUUUCCUGUAAAAAUGAUGUUUUCGUAAUGUGCUUUGUACGACCUUUCGUUUGAUAUACGACAAGCAUACCUUCUGAAACUUUUCGCUUUUUACACUUAAUGACUCCAUCCGCCUACAUUUUCGAGAUCGAAAGUGUGAUAUAGGUAAUGUAGACUUGAUGAUCUUUCAUUUGAUAUGCGACAACGCCAUGUUCUAGAAGUUUUAUUUUUGCACUUAAUAACCCAAUCUUACUAAUUUUUGGGGGUCAGGAAUUUGAUAUUCGAAAUGUACACAUCAUAACCUUUCAUUUGAUAUACAACAACCCUAUCUUAUCAGAAAAUUUAUUUUCUGCACUCAAUGACCCCACCCAACCAAUUUUUGAUGGACGUCAAUUUGAAAUUUGAAAUGUACGCUCUGUGUUCUUUCAUUUGAUAUGCGACAACCUUACCAUCUGAGAAAUUUGAAUUUGUGCACUAAAUGACCCCACCCUUCCCACUGGGAUGUAAAGGGGUUUAAAAUUUUCAUUUUUGAGUAGAGUUUAUUGAGACCUUCAAUUUGAUAUAUCAAAUGACCCCAUUUGACAAAGUGCCAAAAAUGAUGCAAUAUCAACUAUAUAAAUAGAACUUAUGAAACUCACAAAGUCAAUGCAAAACCG
RNAcentral lists this long non-coding RNA (675 nucleotides) under Mytilus galloprovincialis (Mediterranean mussel). The record is from RNAcentral. Lineage: Eukaryota; Metazoa; Mollusca; Bivalvia; Mytilida; Mytilidae.